RNAcentral lists this ribosomal RNA (339 nucleotides) under Clostridioides difficile. RNAcentral describes it as "bacterial SSU rRNA". It matches the Rfam family "Bacterial small subunit ribosomal RNA", at positions 1 to 347 of the family's 1533-position model. The record is from RNAcentral. Lineage: Bacteria; Bacillati; Bacillota; Clostridia; Peptostreptococcales; Peptostreptococcaceae.
UUUUAUUUGAGAGUUUGAUCCUGGCUCAGGAUGAACGCUGGCGGCGUGCCUAACACAUGCAAGUUGAGCGAUUUACUUCGGUAAAGAGCGGCGGACGGGUGAGUAACGCGUGGGUAACCUACCCUGUACACACGGAUAACAUACCGAAAGGUAUGCUAAUACGGGAUAAUAUAUUUGAGAGGCAUCUCUUGAAUAUCAAAGGUGAGCCAGUACAGGAUGGACCCGCGUCUGAUUAGCUAGUUGGUAAGGUAACGGCUUACCAAGGCGACGAUCAGUAGCCGACCUGAGAGGGUGAUCGGCCACAUUGGAACUGAGACACGGUCCAAACUCCUACGGGAG